UACGUAGGGGGCUAGCGUUGUCCGGAAUCAUUGGGCGUAAAGAGCGUGUAGGCGGCCCGGUAAGUCCGCUGUAAAAGUCAAAGGCUCAACCUUUGAAUGUCAGUGGAUACUGCCGGGCUAGAGUCCGGAAGAGGCGAGUGGAACUCCUGGUGUAGCGGUGGAAUGCGCAGAUAUCAGGAAGAACACCAACGGCGAAGGCAGCUCGCUAGGACGGUACUGACGCUGAGGUGCGAAAGCGUGGGGAGCAAACAGG
Molecule: ribosomal RNA, 253 nt
Filed under: uncultured bacterium
Lineage: Bacteria
Description: partial 16S ribosomal RNA
Rfam family: Bacterial small subunit ribosomal RNA
Source: RNAcentral